Molecule: non-coding RNA, 784 nt
Filed under: Quasithosea sythoffi
Lineage: Eukaryota; Metazoa; Arthropoda; Insecta; Lepidoptera; Limacodidae
Source: RNAcentral
AAAUAAAUUAUUUAUGGUUUUUUAAUUUAUUAUUUAUUUAUUUUACAUAUAAAUUUUAGUAGUUAUAUUUAUUUAAAUAAUAAAUAUAAAUUAUUAGUUAAAAUUUAUGUAGUAAUUAGCAUUAAAAAUUUAAGAAAUUAAGAUUUAGUAAUAUAAAAAUUUAUAACAAAUUUUGUGCCAGCAGUUGCGGUUAUACAAAAAUUUAAUUAAAUUUUAUUAAUAAUAAGAAAUAUGUAAAUUUAUUUAUAAAUAUUAAAAUAUAAAGUGAAAUUUUUAUUUUAAUUAAAUAAAUUAUUUUUAUGUUUUAGUAAAUUUUAAUAAUAAACUAGGAUUAGAUACCCUAUUAUUUAAAAUUUAAAUUAUAAAGUAUUAAAAUAGUAAAUAAAAAUAUUAUUGAAACUUAAAUAAUUUGGCGGUAUUUUAGUUUAUUUAGAGGAAUCUGUUUAUUAAUUGAUAAUCCACGAAUAAAUUUACUUAAUUUAUUAUUUUGUAUAUCGUUGUUAAAAAAAUAUUUUUUAAUAAAAUUAAUAUUUAAAAAUUAAUAAAUAAAAUAAAAUCAGAUCAAGAUGCAGAUUAUAAUUAAGAUAUAAAAUGGAUUACAAUAAAUUUAUUUAAAUUGGAUUUAUAUUUGAAAAAAUUAAUUGAAAUUGGAUUUAAAUGUAAUUUUAUUUAGUUUAAUAAAAUGAUUUAUAUUUAAAAUAUGUACAUAUUGCCCGUCGCUUUCAUAAAUAAAUUGAAAUAAGUCGUAACAAAGUAGAAGUACUGGAAAGUGUUUCUAGAAAGA